GACGAACGCUGGCGGCGUGCCUAAUACAUGCAAGUCGAGCGAGAGCGACCGGUGCUUGCACUGGUCAAUCUAGUGGCGAACGGGUGAGUAACACGUGGGUAACCUGCCCAUCAGAGGGGGAUAACAUUCGGAAACGGAUGCUAAAACCGCAUAGGUCUUCGAACCGCAUGGUUUGAAGAGGAAAAGAGGCGCAAGCUUCUGCUGAUGGAUGGACCCGCGGUGCAUUAGCUAGUUGGUGAGGUAACGGCUCACCAAGGCCGUGAUGCAUAGCCGACCUGAGAGGGUGAUCGGCCACAUUGGGACUGAGACACGGCCCAAACUCCUACGGGAGGCAGCAGUAGGGAAUCUUCCGCAAUGGACGCAAGUCUGACGGAGCAACGCCGCGUGAGUGAAGAAGGUUUUCGGAUCGUAAAACUCUGUUGUUAGAGAAGAAUAAGUGCUAGAGUAACUGUUAGCGCCUUGACGGUAUCUAACCAGAAAGCCACGGCUAACUACGUG
This 498-nucleotide ribosomal RNA is filed under the name uncultured bacterium. RNAcentral describes it as "partial 16S ribosomal RNA". It matches the Rfam family "Bacterial small subunit ribosomal RNA", at positions 28 to 507 of the family's 1533-position model. The record is from RNAcentral.